Molecule: ribosomal RNA, 486 nt
Filed under: uncultured bacterium
Lineage: Bacteria
Description: partial 16S ribosomal RNA
Rfam family: Bacterial small subunit ribosomal RNA
Source: RNAcentral
AUUGAACGCUGGCGGCAUGCUUUACACAUGCAAGUCGAGCGGCAGCGCGGGGGCAACCCUGGCGGCGAGCGGCGAACGGGUGAGUAAUGCAUCGGAACGUAUCCUCGAGUGGGGGAUAACCCAGCGAAAGUUGGGCUAAUACCGCAUGAGCUCUGAGGAGGAAAGCGGGGGACCUGCGAGGGCCUCGCGCUGGAGGAGCGGCCGAUGUCCGAUUAGCUAGUUGGUGGGGUUAAGGCUUACCAAGGCGACGAUCGGUAGCUGGUCUGAGAGGAUGAUCAGCCACACUGGGACUGAGACACGGCCCAGACUCCUACGGGAGGCAGCAGUGGGGAAUUUUGGACAAUGGGGGCAACCCUGAUCCAGCCAUGCCGCGUGAGUGAAGAAGGCCUUCGGGUUGUAAAGCUCUUUCGGACGGAACGAAAUGGGCGGGACUAAUACUCCUGUCUGAUGACGGUACCGUAAGAAGAAGCACCGGCUAACUACGUG